This is a long non-coding RNA of Spinacia oleracea (spinach), 540 nucleotides long. RefSeq lists it as uncharacterized. The record is from RefSeq and is a predicted model, not a curated record. Lineage: Eukaryota; Viridiplantae; Streptophyta; Magnoliopsida; Caryophyllales; Amaranthaceae. The transcript is spliced from 3 exons.
GAAACUAACCACCCUCGUCAGAUUUCCGAUGAAUUCGUAUCUCUCCUCCUCACCUUCAGCACCGGCCAUUAACGAAUUCCAUGAAUUCCGUCUUCAACCUUUACGUUAGCAAAGUCAAAUCUCCCAGUAUAAGCUAUCUCACUCCUCAUCCUAUAAAUUCAUGAAAAAUCCCAAUUAUUGAAUUCACAAUUCGCUCAACAAAUUCAAGAUAAAUUCGUUGCUCUCUCUGGUUUUUAAUUGGAGAAAUUCAAGCAUACUCUGGUUUCUUAAUUGCUGCUUCAUCCUCGGUGUUGCCGGAUAUAUUCGCCAGAUAGUUGGUAAUUUGGACGAUAGUUGGAAAGUGGUGAACGUCUGACUUCUUCUUCCGUGUUGUUACUACUGUAGGUUUCGCCGACCACACCGGUUCAAGGUUUCCUGUGAUUCUUUAGCGUUGUUCGUAGGUUCGUGCAUCAGUUCGUGCGUUGCUACACCGGUUCAAGGUUUCCUGCAAGUCUUUAGCGUUGUUCGUAGGUUCGUGCAUCGGUUCGUACGUUGCAUAUG